GAUGAACGCUGGCGGCGUGCCUAAUACAUGCAAGUCGAGCGAACGGACGAGAAGCUUGCUUCUCUGAUGUUAGCGGCGGACGGGUGAGUAACACGUGGAUAACCUACCUAUAAGACUGGGAUAACUUCGGGAAACCGUAGCUAAUACCGGAUAAUAUUUUGAACCGCAUGGUUCAAAAGUGAAAGACGGUCUUGCUGGCACUUAUAGAUGGAUCCGCGCUGCUUUAGCUGGUUGGUAAGGUAACGGCUUACCAAGGCAACGAUGCAUAGCCGACCUGAGAGGCUGAUCGGCCACACUGGAGCUGGGACACGGUCCAGACUCCUACGGGAGGCAGCAGUAGGCAAUCUUCCGCAAUGGGCGAAAGCCUGACGGAGCAGCGCCGCGUGAGUGGUGAAGGUCUUGGGAUCGUAAAACUCUGUUAUUAGGGAAGAACAUAUGUGUAAGUAACUGUGCACAUCUUGACGGUACCUAAUAAGAAAGCCACGGCUAACUACGUG
This 497-nucleotide ribosomal RNA is filed under the name uncultured bacterium. RNAcentral's name for it is "partial 16S ribosomal RNA". It matches the Rfam family "Bacterial small subunit ribosomal RNA", at positions 28 to 507 of the family's 1533-position model. The record is from RNAcentral.